UGAAAAGGUUGAGACGCAUAAAAUAAGCAGCGGUCUCGUCGUUUUCUGCAGGAGUCGGUCACAGAUCAAUAAGGCUCGAAACAUUUCAGCCGUAGGAAGGUUGUGGUUUUUACAACUCCUUGAACGCCUCACAGCGGGAUAGGUGAGUGACGUCACGCAUCAAACGCGUUAAUUGGUCGCGUGGAGGCGGCUUUGAGUUCAAAAUGUUGCGGUGGAACAGACUGAGUCCAGACGGAACAAGGGAAGGAUGAAGACACCGGGUCCAGCUCCGCUCAGAAAACUCUCAGAACUGGAAAAGAAAAGAGACUCUGGGACAAACUCCUCCAACUUCAGGAAGAACUUUGAACCUCACACAGGAAGGUAGAUCUACGAACCAGUAAGUCUCAUGUUUCUUUUUAUUCUGUCUCUCUGUUGAAGGUGUCAUGACUGUCUGUUUAAUCAGCUUCAGGUGUUUGUGGUGUUGUGUCUUUGUUCGGCUACCGUUUUGUUACUGUUGUUUUCUGACAACAUGUCUUCCCUCUGUCCAACAUGGCCACCUGUUCAUUUGGCUGUCUUCUCUCUGUGAGGAACAGCUGAGCUGUUAACGGUGUUGGACAGAUGUCCUCAACACAAUCAGAGCAUUUAGUGAUCUUGUGUUGUUUGGACAGUGUGUUUAUUCAGAGGACUGCAGAAUGUUUGGAAGCUGUGGGAAAGAUUCAGUUUGUCUUUGUGUGCAGUAAAGAAAAGACUGACUGUCUCUGUUAGUGAUGGUGAGACCAGGAAGAAUCAGGUGUUGGAUCUGAGCUGGACUGAUGUGGUUCAGAGUGUGAACAGACUGAGACAGGAGGGUUUUAUCUUCACUGAUCUGAUGAUGAAGGCAGGAAUGUAAUGUGUUUGAUGUUGUGUUAAAGUCAGAGUCUCUAAUCAGCCUGCUGACUGUUUAUUGAAGCUGUGUUGUUGCUGCUGCGCUAUUAAUGUUUUUUUUUUUUUCUUUUUUUUUUUUUUUUUUUUCUGUCUGAUCAGCUUGGAUCAAUAUCUCUGCACUAACUUUUCCUUUCCAGGUGAAUCUACAGUCAGUGAGUCUCAUUUUCUCUUUAACUCUAUGUUGUGUUGUUGGAGGCUGCUGUGCUGCUCAUCUGUCUCUCUGUACCUCUGAACACUUCACCUAACUAUUACUGAGACUUAAACUCAUGUUUGUUUUCUUCAGUAGGCAUGAAAAUGAAAAAUUCCUUAUGACUCCUAACAGUAUCUGUUGUAAUAAUCCUGAUGAUUAAAUGUGUUUCAGAUCAUUCAGUCCUACUCUAGACUUGUUCUAUUUAGACUGUAAUAAAACCUGAGGUUGUGUCUGUUUAACUCUAACUCUGAGUAGAAAAUUCCUUGAUGCACCAUCACAAACAUUUCCACCAUGUUGUUACAGUUGAUCACUUUCAAUGUU
Molecule: long non-coding RNA, 1414 nt
Organism: Lates calcarifer (barramundi perch)
Lineage: Eukaryota; Metazoa; Chordata; Actinopteri; Centropomidae
Exons: 3
Source: RefSeq, a predicted model, not a curated record